GGGUUGUGAGGUUAAGCGAAUAAGCGUACACGGUGGAUGCCUAGGCAAUCAGAGGCGAUGAAGGACGUGCUAAUCUGCGAAAAGCGUCGGUAAGGUGAUAUGAACCGUUAUACCCGACGAUAUCCGAAUGGGGAAACCCAGUAUCCAAUGGAUACUAUCAUUAACUGAAUCCAUAGGUUAAUGAGGCGAACCGGGAGAACUGAAACAUCUCAGUACCCCGAGGAAAAGAAAUCAACCGAGAUUCCCCUAGUAGCGGCGAGCGAACGGGGAGCAGCCCAGAGUCUUAAUCAAUAGCAGUGUCAGGAGAACGGUCUGGAAAGUCCGGCAGUAAAGGGUGAUAGCCCCGUAUCUGAAGAUGCUGUUGUUGUGAACUCGACGAGUAGGGCGGGACACGUGUUAUCCUGUCUGAAUAUGGGGGGACCAUCCUCCAAGGCUAAAUACUCCUGAUUGACCGAUAGUGAACCAGUACCGUGAGGGAAAGGCGAAAAGAACCCCGGCGAGGGGAGUGAAAAAGAACCUGAAACCGUGUACGUACAAGCAGUAGGAGCCUCUUUAUGGGGUGACUGCGUACCUUUUGUAUAAUGGGUCAGCGACUUAUAUUCUGUAGCAAGGUUAACCGCAUAGGGGAGCCGUAGGGAAACCGAGUCUUAACUGGGCGAAUGAGUUGCAGGGUAUAGACCCGAAACCCGGUGAUCUAUCCAUGGGCAGGUUGAAGGUUGGGUAACACUAACUGGAGGACCGAACCGACUAAUGUUGAAAAAUUAGCGGAUGACUUGUGGAUGGGGGUGAAAGGCCAAUCAAACCGGGAGAUAGCUGGUUCUCCCGAAAGCUAUUUAGGUAGCGCCUCGUGAACUCAUCUUCGGGGGUAGAGCACUGUUUCGACUAGGGGGUCAUCCCGACUUACCAACUCGAUGCAAACUGCGAAUACCGAAGAAUGUUAUCACGGGAGACACACGGCGGGUGCUAACGUCCGUCGUGAAGAGGAAACAACCCAGACCGCCAGCUAAGGUCCCAAAGUCAUGGUUAAGUGGGAAACGAAGUGGGAAGGCUCAGACAGCCAGGAUGUUGGCUUAGAAGCAGCCAUCAUUUAAAGAAAGCGUAAUAGCUCACUGGUCGAGUCGGCCCGCGCGGAAGAUGUAACGGGGCUAAACCAUGCACCGAAGCUGCGGCAGCGACACAAAGUGUUGUUGGGUAGGGGAGCGUUCUGUAAGCCUGCGAAGGUGUACUGUGAGGUAUGCUGGAGGUAUCAGAAGUGCGAAUGCUGACAUAAGUAACGAUAAUGCGGGUGAAAAACCCGCACGCCGGAAGACCAAGGGUUCCUGUCCAACGUUAAUCGGGGCAGGGUGAGUCGACCCCUAAGGCGAGGCUGAAAAGCGUAGUCGAUGGGAAACGGGUUAAUAUUCCCGUACUGGUGGUAACUGCGAUGGGGGAACGGAGAAGGCUAGGUUGUCCGGGCGACGGUCGUCCCGGUUCAAGCAGGUAGGCAGAGUGAUUAGGCAAAUCCGGUCACUUAAUGCUGAGAUGUGAUGACGAACCACUAAGGUGGUGAAGCAAUUGAUGCCCCGCUUCCAGGAAAAGCCUCUAAGCUUCAGGUUACCAACAAUCGUACCCCAAACCGACACAGGUGGUCAGGUAGAGAAUACUCAGGCGCUUGAGAGAACUCGGGUGAAGGAACUAGGCAAAAUGGUGCCGUAACUUCGGGAGAAGGCACGCUGGCGGUAGGUAAAGUCCCUUGCGGACGGCGCUGAAGCCAGUCGAAGAUACCAGCUGGCUGCAACUGUUUAUUAAAAACACAGCACUGUGCAAACACGAAAGUGGACGUAUACGGUGUGACGCCUGCCCGGUGCUGGAAGGUUAAUUGAUGGGGUCAGCCGCAAGGCGAAGCUCCUGAUCGAAGCCCCAGUAAACGGCGGCCGUAACUAUAACGGUCCUAAGGUAGCGAAAUUCCUUGUCGGGUAAGUUCCGACCUGCACGAAUGGCGUAAUGAUGGCCAGGCUGUCUCCACCCGAGACUCAGUGAAAUUGAACUCGCUGUGAAGAUGCAGUGUACCCGCGGCAAGACGGAAAGACCCCGUGAACCUUUACUAUAGCUUGACACUGAACAUUGAGCCUUGAUGUGUAGGAUAGGUGGGAGGCUUUGAAGUGUGGACGCCAGUCUGCAUGGAGCCAACCUUGAAAUACCACCCUUUAACGUUUGAUGUUCUAACCUAGGCCCAUAAACUGGGUCGGGGACCGUGUCUGGUGGGUAGUUUGACUGGGGCGGUCUCCUCCUAAAGAGUAACGGAGGAGCACGAAGGUUGGCUAAGCAUGGUCGGACAUCAUGCGGUUAGUGCAAAGGCAUAAGCCAGCUUGACUGCGAGUGACGGCUCGAGCAGGUACGAAAGUAGGUCUUAGUGAUCCGGUGGUUCUGAAUGGAAGGGCCAUCGCUCAACGGAUAAAAGGUACUCCGGGGAUAACAGGCUGAUACCGCCCAAGAGUUCAUAUCGACGGCGGUGUUUGGCACCUCGAUGUCGGCUCAUCACAUCCUGGGGCUGAAGUAGGUCCCAAGGGUAUGGCUGUUCGCCAUUUAAAGUGGUACGCGAGCUGGGUUUAGAACGUCGUGAGACAGUUCGGUCCCUAUCUGCCGUGGGCGUUGGAAGAUUGAGAGGGGUUGCUCCUAGUACGAGAGGACCGGAGUGAACGCACCACUGGUGUUCGGGUUGUCAUGCCAAUGGCAUUGCCCGGUAGCUAAGUGCGGAAGAGAUAACCGCUGAAAGCAUCUAAGCGGGAAACUUGCCUCGAGAUGAGUCUUCCCUGUCACUUUAAGUGACCUAAAGGAACGUUUAAGACUAAGACGUUGAUAGGCUGGGUGUGUAAGCGUAGCGAUACGUUGAGCUAACCAGUACUAAUGAACCGUGAGGCUUAACCUGACAACACCGAAAGUGUUUUG
Molecule: ribosomal RNA, 2928 nt
Filed under: Proteus mirabilis
Lineage: Bacteria; Pseudomonadati; Pseudomonadota; Gammaproteobacteria; Enterobacterales; Morganellaceae
Description: 23S ribosomal RNA
Rfam family: Bacterial large subunit ribosomal RNA
Source: RNAcentral